RNA transcript from Triticum aestivum (bread wheat), 4230 nucleotides. RefSeq lists it as uncharacterized. NCBI's taxonomy places the organism in Eukaryota, Viridiplantae, Streptophyta, Magnoliopsida, Poales, Poaceae. The record is from RefSeq and is a predicted model, not a curated record. The transcript has 6 exons.
UGUACCUGUAUCUUUUUCUAACCCACUCGGCUCGACACCGUUUCUCUCUCCCUAGUCCAUCCUCCGAUUGCGGCGGCGGCGGCGACGGCGACUGUGCCGGUGGGACAACCCGGAAGCGAGGGCUACUCUCCACCCUGGCGCGUGGUGUACUCCCCCAUUCCCUCUCUCAUGCUUGCAGGAGGCGAAGUGGACAGUGCAAAGAUCCGACGCGAGGUCGGGCGGCGACAACUGCCUUCUCCUGCGUCCAUCCGCACCUUCGUCGGUCUUCUCGCCGGAGCGGGGCAAAGAAAGAGCACGAAGGCCAAGAAAGGAUCCCGGGUUGCCCAAGAAGUUGCUCCUCAGGUUGCCACCGCACAAUGAGGAAGCAGUGGACGGGAAGGGUAGAGCUCCAUUUUGAUCUCAAGGGCAAAAUUUGGGGUUCGGCCCUAACAAGAGCCCUCAUUCUGUCCAACAAAAAGAAGCCCUUAUUCUGUACGCAGUUCAUCCUCACUUUUCUGCUAGAUUUCACCGUCACAUCAGCAAACCUAUGGACUAAAGGAAAUCACGCAACAAAAGAAAAAAAAUACAUUCCCUUCCCCUAAUAGUUCAACACUUCUUCAGACUUUAUGCAAAUAUUGUGAGUAUUGUUUCUAUCCUCUGAAGGUGUUAAGACUUAUAUCCCGAAUGCCAGUGCAGUAAUUAAUUAGAUUCUCGGAGUUGAAAGCAUUCAGUCAUGCUUAUUUUAAAUCUUUUCUCAUUGUAGUUCAUAUACCUGUCCGUGGAUCACUCAGGUGUCAUUUUUUUAAUAACUCAACUUUAGUUUGCCAGUAACUAGUUUCAAAAUGUUUUGAAAAUGCUACUUGCAUUUAGGAAGAGAAAAUAGUAUACUGAGAAGUACCUGCCAUGCCCCUAGCCCCCUACUAUGGUUUCAGCAUAGUUUAUGGUAUACUAACAAGUACCUACGAUACGAUGCCUUUGUAUUCUUUUACCUGGGCCCUUAUUUUAAUCUCAGCUGUAGUUAAUGGUAACAAGCACCUACGACGCCCCUAUUUUAUUUACCUGGGCCACUAAUAUAAUUUCAGCUCUAUUUGGUCUUUGGAAAUGGUAUAUCUGGAAAUAAAGAACUAUGCGUGUAAUUCUAUCAUUCUGCAAAUUAGUCAAUUUUGUAGUUUCUUUCUUUUCCUCAGUGAUAUGCCAAUAUGUUUCAACUCAGCGCAUGGAGUAAUUUAAUGGUCCUUCUCCUGUGAUUUACUAGAUUGUCAGCAAUGAUUCAAAAGGUCAGUUCCUUUAGACAUAGAUGUGGAAUAAAGCAUCAACCUAUUUAAUAAUGUAUCCAUCCAUCUAGCAACAGGUAGCGUAACAAGCAUAAGUAGAUAGUGACCCAGACAAAGAAACCCACUAAAGAGAUUGCAGGAGUAUUGGUGAGCGCUCUGAAUCUACAAAUUCCUUGAUCCAUUUUUACAUUAUGCAAGCAUAACAGAAGAGAUAAAAUGUAGACACUUUUAGGCACAUACCCCAAAUAUGCCUGGCGUUAGAUCCAGAUCAGUAAAUUAACAGUAUGCCAACUACACAUAGCAAUUCAGAUGAAAAAAAUGUAGACAUAAAAUGGGAGCACAGUAGCCAGACACUUUGAACUUCAAAUAUCAUAAACUCCUAUAUGAAAAGGGAAAUUCUGACUGAUGCUUGUGCAAUUUCUGUUAACAUCUAGUUUAAUUCUCUGUAUAUAUAUGCUAUGUAUAAGUAAAAAUAUGCAUGCGUUUGUUUUCCUCAGGGAAGAGCAUUCCUCUAUUUAUUUUAUCAUCUAAUUUAAUUCUCUUUAUGUAUACAUGUUAUAAGAAAAAAUCUGCAUGCGUGCUUUUCUCUAGCAAAGAGCAUUGCUCUAUUUAUCUCGGACCAUCAUGUCUCAUUCACUGGGUUGUUGGCAAGAAUAUAUCCAUGUUUUAAUGUUUUUCUGACUACAGUUUAUAGUUGUAAAAUCUGUCAUUAAGCUUCAGCAGUUCAAUCUUGCAAGCUUCUUUGAAGUGCGGUCUGCCUGAGAUUACCCCAUUGGCUUUGACUAAGAGUUCCAAUUAAUUGUUAGGUUGCUUAUCCUAAAGUUCAUGAUCCUGCAUGCGAGCAAAGGAUGUGAUAAGCGCAGUUUUGUCUCUGUAGUUUUCUAGACUUUAUUCAUCAUGACGAUUUUAUGGAGUCUGAACAAUGUGUAGCUGCAAGGGAGGUUCCAGGAAGACUUCAAGAUGCUAGGCAUCAUCCAUUUUGAGGUCGUUUUAGCAAGACCUGAUGUUUCAGUGCAUAUAGUGCAGUGUAACAUAUCAAGUCAGUUUGUUUCUGUAAUUAUACGGCCUUGUCCAUAUGUUUUACCCCAACCAUCAGUAUUUUGCAUGAUGCCCUAGGUAAUUUGUGUUCAGAAAUUGACAUUGUGUAUCUGCAUACUUGGCUGGCAAUAUCAUUACCUGACAGCCUCCGGACACAUUCCUAUAGAAUCUUAAUUCUCAAAAAAGAAACCCUAUAACCUUCGGAGUUAUUUCAUUCCUCAAAAGUAUACUUUUGUUGCAGGGGUAGUAUAUUGGAAAUCAGGGGCAGAGCUCAGCCACCAGCUCCAUCUACUCGCACGAACAACAAUUUUUGCACACAUGUGCGCAACUGUAUUUGCUUUCGUACCAAUAACUGGAAAGAUAAUAUUAAUCUCCUUGAUUUCACCGACAAUUGCAGCAUAUGACGCCAAUAUAAAUUGUCCUGCCAGUUCUUUAACAGAAUUAGGAGUCAGGUUCCCAAACAAUUAUCUGAAACUUACCUUCUCUGACCAUCCUCACCUUAACUUUACAUCGCACCCGCCUUGCGAGAAGGACAGGUUACUCGGCUCCGUGUCGUAAUUUUGCCUCACAAGCGUUUUGUUUCUAUGGUGGAUGUGGCACCCACUCGAAUAUAAUUUUACCUCAGACAACUUUUGUUUCUUACGGUGGUUGUGGUGUGGUGUAAUUUUACCUCAGACACCUUUUGUCUCUUACGAUGGUUGUGGCGUGGUGUGUGUAGCUCGUACAGGGUGGCUGGGGUGAGGAAUAAGAAUUCCUCACCCAGGGUGAUGAAUAGCGCGACCCUAGAAAUUCUAUUAAUAACCCAGGGUGAAGAAUAAGUAAUUCUUCACCCUGGUCGGUCGAUCGAGCUGGAUAGCCGAUUCCUCCGUCGCACCGUGGGGUGGUGUAAUUUUACCUUUUCUUUAUGACGGUUCCUCCUUUUGCUUUUUUUUGCUUGGUCGUGCGGUUUGGAUCAUGCCCACUACCAGCCGAAUUAACAAAAAAAAAGAUCCCAGGGACGAACAGCGGCGGCGAGCGGUCUGGGGCUAGGCGAGCGGCGGCCGUCGUCCGGCAGCGAUACGAGUGGGCCCGGCGGGAGCUCGGACUCCAGCGCCAUUCUCUCAAGCCCGGUGUGGUGGGACGAUGCCUCGCCAGCAACAAACACCUGGCCACAGUCGGGCGCAGUCCGCGACUCAGGGGUUGGAGGCGUCCUCGUCUAGCCGACGAGCUGGUUAUGGUCGGGCGGGCAGCGCGUCGUGGCUGCUGCGUGAAGAGAUGGCUAACCAACAAAGGCAGGAGAUUCCAGCGACAGAUUUGAGGUCGGCGCCUCAUGAAGGCAUGCUCCUUGCCGGGAGAGGCAGGGGCAUCCUUUCUUGGUCUGCAGCUUUCACCUCUGUUGCUUCAGAUAGCGGCACAAGUGGAGCAGGCGGCUGCAAUGGAUUUUAUACUAUGAAAAGUAGCUUCCUGAUGAAUCAGAUGUACUUCUGUGUGGUGCUCCAGCUGAUUCGUCGCUUGUCAGCCUGUCAUGGAUAAUCGGUGCAUGGUAGGAAGUACAAUGGCAAAACGAGGACGGACUGAAGGCAGCGGAUUCCGUGUUGGUCGGAGGGGAAGACAUUGUCUUUAUCUAAGUGCCUCCUGCAACCAUCUCCUUGUAGCCUCAGAUAAUGACUUCAGAUGGAGAGGGCCGUAUAAAUGGCAUGCCCAAUGUUUCACUGACCUCAAGCAGGGAGCCACCAUUACCUUGUGUUCGGAUUGGUUACCAUAAUCAAAUCCUUUUUUGCCCAUUUAAAUUAGUGGCUCGAUUUCGUUAAUAAUUGAGUUUGAUUGGAAGUAUAUACUCCAGUGUCUUCGUUGUUCUGUUUUAUAAUCCAAUUGCCAGGAUGUUUGCUAUAUUUUUAGUAUGUAGAUCGUAGGGACAUUACUGUAGUACAAAUGUCUUCUAUACAAGUUAUGCAGUCAA